This 72-nucleotide transfer RNA is filed under the name Camelus bactrianus (Bactrian camel). It matches the Rfam family "tRNA". From Rfam's summary of the family: Transfer RNA (tRNA) molecules are approximately 80 nucleotides in length. The record is from Rfam by way of RNAcentral. Lineage: Eukaryota; Metazoa; Chordata; Mammalia; Artiodactyla; Camelidae. RNAcentral also lists the same sequence under 3 other names.
GAGGGUAGAGCUCAGUGGUAGAGCGCAUGCUUAGCAUGCACGAGGCCCUGGGUUCCAUCCCCAGCACCUCUG